Molecule: ribosomal RNA, 129 nt
Filed under: Clonostachys rosea
Lineage: Eukaryota; Fungi; Ascomycota; Sordariomycetes; Hypocreales; Bionectriaceae
Description: partial large subunit ribosomal RNA
Source: RNAcentral
CAUCAGUUCGCCCCGGGGGAUAAAGGUUUCGGGAAUGUGGCUCCUCCGGGAGUGUUAUAGCCCGUUGCGUAAUACCCUGGGACGGACUGAGGUUCGCGCUCUGCAAGGAUGCUGGCGUAAUGGUCAUCA